UACGGAGGGUGCAAGCGUUAAUCGGAAUUACUGGGCGUAAAGCGCACGCAGGCGGCUGUUUAAGUCAGAGGUGAAAUCCCCGGGCUUAACCGGGGAAUUGCAUCUGAUACUGGUGAGCUAGAGUGUUGUAGGGGGGGGUAGAAUUCCAUGUGUAGCGGUGAAAUGCGUAGAGAUGUGGAGGAAUACCGAUGGCGAAGGCGGCCCCCUGGACAAAGACUGACGCUCAGGUGCGAAAGCGUGGGGAGCAAACAGG
Molecule: ribosomal RNA, 253 nt
Filed under: uncultured bacterium
Lineage: Bacteria
Description: partial 16S ribosomal RNA
Rfam family: Bacterial small subunit ribosomal RNA
Source: RNAcentral